This 578-nucleotide ribosomal RNA is filed under the name uncultured fungus. Its description in RNAcentral is "eukaryotic LSU rRNA". The stretch from base 217 to 370 matches the Rfam family "5.8S ribosomal RNA". Lineage: Eukaryota; Fungi. The record is from RNAcentral.
CUUGGUCAUUUAGAGGAAGUAAAAGUCGUAACAAGGUCUCCGUUGGUGAACCAGCGGAGGGAUCAUUACCGAGUUUACAACUCCCAAACCCCUGUGAACAUACCUAUACGUUGCCUCGGCGGAUCAGCCCGCGCCCUGUAAAAAGGGACGGCCCGCCCGAGGACCCUAAACUCUGUUUUUAGUGGAACUUCUGAGUAAAACAAACAAAUAAAUCAAAACUUUCAACAACGGAUCUCUUGGUUCUGGCAUCGAUGAAGAACGCAGCAAAAUGCGAUAAGUAAUGUGAAUUGCAGAAUUCAGUGAAUCAUCGAAUCUUUGAACGCACAUUGCGCCCCCUGGUAUUCCGGGGGGCAUGCCUGUUCGAGCGUCAUUUCACCACUCAAGCCUCGCUUGGUAUUGGGCGACGCGGUCCGCCGCGCGCCUCAAAUCGACCGGCUGGGUCUUCUGUCCCCUCAGCGUUGUGGAAACUAUUCGCUAAAGGGUGCCCGGGAGGCUACGCCGUAAAACAACCCCAUUUCUAAGGUUGACCUCGGAUCGGGUAGGGAUACCCGCUGAACUUAAGCAUAUCAAUAAGCGGA